AGAAUCAACGCUGGCGGCGUGCCUCAGACAUGCAAGUCGAACGAUUAAAGCUCCCUUCGGGGAGUGCAUAAAGUGGCGCACGGGUGAGUAACACGUAAGUAAUCUACCCUCGGGUGGGGAAUAACCAUCGGGAAACCGAUGACUAAUACCGCAUAAUGCAGCGGCACCGCAAGGUGACAGUUGUUAAAGAUUUAUUGCCUGGGGAGGAGCUUGCGGCAGAUUAGCUUGUUAGGUAAGGUAACGCUUACAAGGCUACGAUCUGUACUCCGGUCUAAGGAGGACGGUCGGACACACUGACACUGAAUAACGGGUCAGACC
RNAcentral lists this ribosomal RNA (318 nucleotides) under uncultured soil bacterium. RNAcentral describes it as "bacterial SSU rRNA". It matches the Rfam family "Bacterial small subunit ribosomal RNA", at positions 26 to 337 of the family's 1533-position model. The record is from RNAcentral.